GCUAAUACCGCAUACGUCCUGAGGGAGAAAGUGGGGGAUCUUCGGACCUCACGCUAUCAGAUGAGCCUAGGUCGGAUUAGCUAGUUGGUGGGGUAAAGGCCUACCAAGGCGACGAUCCGUAACUGGUCUGAGAGGAUGAUCAGUCACACUGGAACUGAGACACGGUCCAGACUCCUACGGGAGGCAGCAGUGGGGAAUAUUGGACAAUGGGCGAAAGCCUGAUCCAGCCAUGCCGCGUGUGUGAAGAAGGUCUUCGGAUUGUAAAGCACUUUAAGUUGGGAGGAAGGGCAGUAAGUUAAUACCUUGCUGUUUUGACGUUACCAACAGAAUAAGCACCGGCUAACUUCGUGCCAGCAGCCGCGGUAAUACGAAGGGUGCAAGCGUUAAUCGGAAUUACUGGGCGUAAAGCGCGCGUAGGUGGUUCAGCAAGUUGGAUGUGAAAUCCCCGGGCUCAACCUGGGAACUGCAUCCAAAACUACUGAGCUAGAGUACGGUAGAGGGUGGUGGAAUUUCCUGUGUAGCGGUGAAAUGCGUAGAUAUAGGAAGGAACACCAGUGGCGAAGGCGACCACCUGGACUGAUACUGACACUGAGGUGCGAAAGCGUGGGGAGCAAACAAGAUUAGAUACCCUGGUAGUCCACGCCGUAAACGAUGUCGACUAGCCGUUGGGAUCCUUGAGAUCUUAGUGGCGCAGCUAACGCGAUAAGUCGACCGCCUGGGGAGUACGGCCGCAAGGUUAAAACUCAAAUGAAUUGACGGGGGCCCGCACAAGCGGUGGAGCAUGUGGUUUAAUUCGAAGCAACGCGAAGAACCUUACCUGGCCUUGACAUGCUGAGAACUUUCCAGAGAUGGAUUGGUGCCUUCGGGAACUCAGACACAGGUGCUGCAUGGCUGUCGUCAGCUCGUGUCGUGAGAUGUUGGGUUAAGUCCCGUAACGAGCGCAACCCUUGUCCUUAGUUACCAGCACCUCGGGUGGGCACUCUAAGGAGACUGCCGGUGACAAACCGGAGGAAGGUGGGGAUGACGUCAAGUCAUCAUAGCCCUUACGGCCAGGGCUACACACGUGCUACAAUGGUCGGCACAAAGGGUUGCCAAGCCGCGAGGUGGAGCUAAUCCCAUAAAACCGAUCGUAGUCCGGAUCGCAGUCUGCAACUCGACUGCGUGAAGUCGGAAUCGCUAGUAAUCGUGAAUCAGAAUGUCACGGUGAAUACGUUCCCGGGCCUUGUACACACCGCCCGUCACACCAUGGGAGUGGGUUGCUCCAGAAGUAGCUAGUCUAACCGCAAGGGGGACGGUUACCACGGAGUGAUUCAUGACUGGGGUGAAGUCGGAACAAGGUA
RNAcentral lists this ribosomal RNA (1340 nucleotides) under metagenome. RNAcentral describes it as "bacterial SSU rRNA". It matches the Rfam family "Bacterial small subunit ribosomal RNA", at positions 162 to 1498 of the family's 1533-position model. The record is from RNAcentral.